Molecule: long non-coding RNA, 425 nt
Filed under: Homo sapiens (human)
Lineage: Eukaryota; Metazoa; Chordata; Mammalia; Primates; Hominidae
Description: HSALNT0351493
Source: RNAcentral
CUGGAAAGUACCUUAACAGAUAACUUGGGAGAUUUCUAAUGCCUGGAGGCUGCUCCGUCUAUCCAAGUGGGAGCUGCAAGCAAGUCCUGCCUCCUCUCCGCCAUCUUAACCCCUCAACCAGUAAAUGUUUAAAGACACAAAUCUCAAGCCCUCUCAGUCUCCACUCUUCAAAAGUCCGUCCUUUCCUGACUUUACGUGGCAGAAAGACAAUCUGCCUUGCAGCAAGUUUAUGGAUAACACGGAGUUCCCCUGCAAUGAAUAUGUGAACCCUCUGUUCUUCAGGAUAGCACUUGGGAUGAUGUGGAGUUGCUCAGGCCAGGACCUCCAGUACCAUACUGAAUUGAAAUGGUAAGUGAACAUCUUUGUCUUAUUCCUGGUCUUAGAGUAAAAGCUUUAAACUUUUACCAUUGAGUAUGAUAUUAGUU